GGGGGUGAAAGGCUUCGACUAGGAAGCUGAGAGCUCAUGGCAUGCGGAGGUCGUCGAUCACCUCUUUAAACUAUCGGCAAAUUAUAAUUGACAACCAUAACGGUUCUCAAGAACUUCUCGCAGCUUAACCGUUGCUGAGUUCCGAUACUCUGGGGUCUGACCAGGAACUUUAGAAGUAUCGUCAUUAACCCUGGUGUGGCGCUCUUUGCCGCCUUAUGGAAGAGCUAGCCGAGAUUACAUAGGGCGUAUAGAUCUGAAACGGGGCGCCUCCCGGUAAGAUCUAUUAAAUGACGGAGGCGAUAAGCAUGUAGGCAUGGGUUGGAUGUUUGCUUAGGACGAGAGUUCGAAUCUCUCCACCUCCAAUU
This 365-nucleotide transfer-messenger RNA is filed under the name Candidatus Rhabdochlamydiaceae. Its description in RNAcentral is "PALSA-1444 sp018239715 Standard tmRNA". It matches the Rfam family "transfer-messenger RNA". From Rfam's summary of the family: Bacterial tmRNA, also known as 10Sa RNA or SsrA, is named for its dual tRNA and mRNA-like properties. Its role is to liberate the mRNA from a stalled ribosome. To accomplish this part of the tmRNA is used as a reading frame that ends in a translation stop signal. The record is from RNAcentral. RNAcentral also lists the same sequence under 1 other name. Lineage: Bacteria; Pseudomonadati; Chlamydiota; Chlamydiia; Parachlamydiales.